RNAcentral lists this ribosomal RNA (465 nucleotides) under uncultured bacterium. Its description in RNAcentral is "partial 16S ribosomal RNA". It matches the Rfam family "Bacterial small subunit ribosomal RNA", at positions 28 to 507 of the family's 1533-position model. The record is from RNAcentral.
GACGAACGCUGGCGGCGUGCUUAACACAUGCAAGUCGUACGGUAAGGCCCUUUCGGGGGUACACGAGUGGCGAACGGGUGAGUAACACGUGAGUAACCUGCCCACAACUUUGGGAUAACGCUAGGAAACUGGUGCUAAUACUGGAUAUGUGCUCCUGCUGCAUGGUGGGGGUUGGAAAGCUCCGGCGGUUGUGGAUGGACUCGCGGCCUAUCAGCUUGUUGGUGGGGUAGUGGCCUACCAAGGCGGCGACGGGUAGCCGGCCUGGGAGGGUGACCGGCCACAUUGGGACUGGGAUACGGCCCAGACUCCUACGGGAGGCAGCAGUGGGGAAUAUUGCACAAUGGGCGCAAGCCUGAUGCAGCAACGCCGCGGGCGGGAGGACGGCCUUCGGGUUGUAAACCGCUUUCAGCAGGGACGAAGCUUUUUGUGACGGUACCUGCAGAAGAAGCACCGGCUAACUACGUG